CUUUCAGCGCCUGCAGGUUCCGGGAGGUCAGGUUGUAUUCCUGGCGGGUCGUCUGGCUGGCUCCCAGCCGAGGACGUCGGAUGUCAUCGUCCUUGCUGCUUUGCCACCCCAUUCCCGUCAAUAAAGUGGUUUGAACCCAA
Molecule: long non-coding RNA, 140 nt
Filed under: Homo sapiens (human)
Lineage: Eukaryota; Metazoa; Chordata; Mammalia; Primates; Hominidae
Description: small nucleolar RNA host gene 25
Source: RNAcentral